RNAcentral lists this unclassified non-coding RNA (329 nucleotides) under soil metagenome. Its description in RNAcentral is "partial contains 5.8S ribosomal RNA, internal transcribed spacer 2, and large subunit ribosomal RNA". The stretch from base 1 to 120 matches the Rfam family "5.8S ribosomal RNA", at positions 35 to 154 of the family's 154-position model. The record is from RNAcentral.
GAUGAAGAACGUAGUGAAAUGCGAUAAGUAAUGUGAAUUGCAGAAUUCAGUGAAUCAUCGAAUCUUUGAACGCACAUUGCGCCCCUUGGUAUUCCGAGGGGCAUGCCUGUUCGAGCGUCAUCAUAACCCCUCAAGCUCAGCUUGGUGUUGGGGCCUGCUGCACUGGCAGCCCUUAAAAUCAGUGGCGGCGCCAUCUGGCUCUAAGCGUAGUAAUUCUUCUCGCUAUGGAGUCCUGGUGGAUGCUUGCCAUCAACCCCCAAUUUUUCUAUGGUUGACCUCGGAUCAGGUAGGGAUACCCGCUGAACUUAAGCAUAUCAAUAAGCGGAGGA